UCUCUCUCUCUCUCUCGCAGUCGUCACCGCCGCCAGCCAUCCUCCCCAUCGCCCCCUUACCCCCGUCAUCUCGCACUCACUCCACCCCUCUCACAGUCGCCGCCGCUAGCCAUCUCGUAGGAUGGAGACGCUGGCCAUCUCCAUCUCCUCUCUGUCGCCGUCUGAUCCAGAUGCGGCCGCAGUCUGCCGGCGCCGCAGGCGGAGGAGACGCGCCUAGGAGGAGCUUUCUUCAUCACACGCGGCAGCCGGCGUAGCUCUGCCUCCCACACUCCCAUCAUCUCCGUCACACCCGGUCACUGUACACGGAGGGGGAGGAGUGGUGGCCGGCAGAGAUCUGCCUCCUUCAUCCAGGUGGAGGCGUUCGGCGGCGGCCUGGCCGUGGCGUUUUAGUUGGCGGACCCGUACGGGGACUUCCGGGUGUCGAUGCAGGAGAUGGUGGCCGCACACGGGGCCGGCGGCUGGGGCUGGGGCUGGCUGGAGGAGAUGCUGGGGUGGUACCUGCGCGCCAAUGGCAAGGACACGCACGACACCAUCGUGACGGCCUUCGUCAACGUCAUCGUCUCUGUCGCCGACCCCGGCCGCGGCUCCUCCUGCUCGUCCCAGAUCUCGUCCUGCGCGUCCGUGGACGGGGAUCAGUAAACUAAUCUUACUUCCGUGGCAUGGUUAAUGUGGUGAGAGUGAACUUUGCCGAGCUAGCUAGCUAAUGAUGGCGGAGUGUGGUAGAUGAGUGAGAGGGCUGCGGCGUCGAGGUCCGAGGGGCGGCGAUGUGGGGAAAAGAUAAGGGAUGAGAGGCACGCGUGUGAGCAGGUGGAACAAUGCAAGCGCCUCAGUGACCCGUCAGUCUCCAACAAGGGUUUUGAACUGAAUGCUCAUCAGAUUACCCAGGUUUGGUUUUAUUGUAUGGGUGCUUUGUUCUUUAAUUUGCAGAACAUGUUUGAACAACGUUUCGGCCUUCACGUAUUAGUAUAGUACCCUAACUGUCGCAUAAAAGUGGAAGAAAGUAAGUGCAGUACCAUAUUAUAAGCACUGUCAAGUUAUCUGCAUUGCUCGUUUGGUUAUUGCUUUGAGAGAGUCAUUCUUCACGGAUUGCCCGGUACCAGCCAAUAUUAAACACCCUUGUGUAUCUGAAUUGUCGCACGGUUGUGCUAGAUAGUACUGCAUUGGAUGUUUAUGUUUGAUAAUUGAGUUGUACUUUUCAUACAUAUCUGUUGGUAGAGCCGUUCUUACUUCAUUCAAAGGCUUGAAAUGCUACCGUUGCAAUGUUCUCCACAAGAUAUAGAUAUUUUUUCUGAGGUCAAGUAGGCACAGGGAAGUAUUAGCAUCAAAUAGCCGGUGUGGCAUGUUGUAUGCAUGGAGGGUACACCAUCAAGAUGUCUAUAUGUUGCAAAAGCAAAGAUACAUAUCUUGCUUGGAGAGUUAUCUCUUCAGCUAUGCUUUAAAUUGGCGGGUUACUAGGACUUAAACCUCAAAUUGAAAAGACUCUCGGGACUACUAGGGCAACCUUUUGGUAUAAUGCAUGAACCAACUUGCCAAAAGCACCUUUAACUUGAACAAAUGUUUUUGACAGGAGCAAUUUUUUCUUCCUGUAACAGGAGAUUGGGUUAAUCUCCACCAUCAUCGACAGGGAGAAAUCAACGGAAUCAGUUGUUUUGUGACUGAUUCCAUCGCAUCUCUGGUGUACACGAUUUUGAUUUCUGAACAAUGUCAUUGUGUAGGUACUGUCCAAUUAAACGAAGUGUAUAACUCCAGCCGGCAACAGCGAGAUUAGGAAUUAGUAUUACGCAUUAGUUGCUGACGAUUUUGGUUAAGCUGAUCAAUCUUGUUGUCUGUUGGUGGUGGAGGUCAGGUCCGCCGUCAGCAGGGGUUGUUUUCCUGGGUUAUGAGCUGAUUGCUAGGGAGGUGUACACUAGAGGACAUGUUCACCACUGAUAAUUCAAUGGAGUGUGUAGACUGAUAUAGUACCUACUACCUACUCAAAGGAGGAAAGGUCUAAGUCCCAGGUGAAUCUGUGCUUCUUUUGAACCUUCUCUCUCUAGCAUAUCCCUUUGUUUCACCAAACUGUUGUAGUAUGGGGAUUAUCUUAACAAGAGCACUUUUAUUUUUGUCACAUAUUUAUAUGGGUAAAGUUUUCGCAGUUAAUAAGUUGUUCCAAAGAGUGCUUAGCCUGAUGCUUUGAAGAUCAAGUUUCAGCGUGGCUUACAAUGUUAGAUCAGUUUGAGUUUUUGUACCAAGUUGAAAGCCUAAUGCUCCAAAUGGUACAUUCUAAUUUUAUAACUAUCCCUUAUUUUCUUAAUCUGUAAAUGACAAACCACCCGUAUGCUCUCUAAAUUCAGGGUAAAACUGAACCUAAAUUCAGAUAUAUUUUGAUGUAAUCAUACAUUAGUUGCAACUAGAUUACAUGAGCAUAUCAGACUAUAUGGUCUCAUAGACCUUUAGAAGUUGUUGAUAUUCUCUAUUUUUGGCCACAUCAUUUCUGUAAAAAUAGUAGACUCAAGCUUGUACUGUCAAACAGAGUUGCUAUUGUAUUGAUGCCUUGGAAUGUUGUUAAAUCAAGUAAUGCAGCUGAAUUUGUCUGCUACAUGUUAAUCUUGCUCUUUGAUACUUGUUCACAAAUUGUUUACUUGAUGCUUGAUGGCAACUGCUAUUCUUACAAGACUAUCAAUCUGAGAUCAUAACUCAGAAAAAUGAGAUGUGCACAUAUGUUUAUAUUUUGAUUUACUAAUGGUUUCCUUGAUGUGAAUGUUUUCUUGCAUUAUCUGAUUUCUAAUCUGCAGUAAAUGUGACACAAGUUUAUCAUUUCUCAUUGUAUGGAGUGAACCGAGACAUCAACUAGCUGGACGUGGAAGUGUUGUUCCUGAAGGAGAAGUAUGAGGUUGUGCUUGACAAGAUCUCCAGGCUGGAGGAGAUGGCUUCUCUGUUCAUUUAUAUUCUCCUUGAAGCAUGAGAUGUCGGAUUCAGAGCAACAAGGCGACUAAAUGAUGGGGUUAUGGCAAGGAGGCACACAUAUGGAUGAUCGGUGAGGUCGCUAGAGCUUAUGAGAGGGGAAUGGAUUCUGUCGCCACGAUGUUGAAUGGGACGCGCACCACUUUUUUUGUACCUAUAUUAAAGUAUACUUGUGUGAUGAGCAGCUACAGCUUGUGUUUGCAAAUAUGUUCCUUUUUAGCUUUAACCAUUUUUUGUGAAGAGAAUAUUUUGUAAACCAGUGCAAACUUUGCCUAAAUUACCAUCCAUUUGGCAAAAUGUUAAAGCAGAUUA
This is a long non-coding RNA of Triticum aestivum (bread wheat), 3255 nucleotides long. RefSeq lists it as uncharacterized. Lineage: Eukaryota; Viridiplantae; Streptophyta; Magnoliopsida; Poales; Poaceae. The record is from RefSeq and is a predicted model, not a curated record. The transcript has 4 exons.